RNAcentral lists this ribosomal RNA (253 nucleotides) under uncultured bacterium. RNAcentral describes it as "partial 16S ribosomal RNA". It matches the Rfam family "Bacterial small subunit ribosomal RNA", at positions 524 to 776 of the family's 1533-position model. The record is from RNAcentral.
UACGUAGGGUGCGAGCGUUGUCCGGAAUUAUUGGGCGUAAAGGGCGCGUAGGCGGCCAUGCGUGUCUUCCGUGAAAUCCCUCGGCUUAACUGAGGACGUGCGGAAGAAACUGCAAGGCUUGAGUCCGGGAGAGGGGGGUGGAAUUCCCAGUGUAGCGGUGAAAUGCGUAGAUAUUGGGAGGAACACCGGUGGCGAAGGCGGCCCCCUGGACCGGUACUGACGCUGAGGCGCGAAAGCGUGGGUAGCAAACAGG